Peromyscus eremicus (cactus mouse) is the source of this 792-nucleotide long non-coding RNA. RefSeq lists it as uncharacterized. The transcript has 3 exons. The record is from RefSeq and is a predicted model, not a curated record. NCBI's taxonomy places the organism in Eukaryota, Metazoa, Chordata, Mammalia, Rodentia, Cricetidae.
ACCACAGUGGCUAACUUUAUGUACUUCCCAGCUGCUCUGUGUUCCUCAGUUGUCAGUGAGGAGACUUGUUGAGUCUGGUGACCAUGUUCUGCCCUUAUAUGUCUUCUCCAUCAACAGUUAUAUGGUUAGAGUGACCUGUCAAGAUAUUUGUGGAACCUCUAAAUGACUGGGGUGAUUAUGAACUAUGGCAAUUUUUUCCUGACUUGUAAACCCACAGGCUUGUGGACUCUGCAGCCAAGUUGAAUUCUGAGUCUGCAGCUGUGAAUGAGCCUGAAGAGGCUAUCUCCUUGGUUACUUGGAGCAUGUGCUAUGAGGGCAGAGAAAACCAGAUAGCUGGGAUAACCACUUCCCUUCAAAUAGAGGAGACAGCUGGGUUCCCCAGAGGGGGCAUCUGAAGCACAGGACAAAAUAAUUUGUGGUGUCACCGAGUCACUGAUGAACAUAAAGGAGCACCAGAGAGCUACCAUCCCACCAAACCUUCCUCACCAAGGUGCAGAUGAAGCAGAAGGUGCAGCCUGACCAGUCAGCUACAGAAAAUGACCAUUGAAAGAAAGUAACAGUGAGAUUGCCUGAUCUUUAUCACAGAAGAGAGCAUGAAGAAUAGGUAUUAUCAUUGAGAAUUUCUUUUUGAAGACAGGAGAAACAUUGUCACAGACUCUGAAGGGUACACACUUGUGGAGAAGACACCAGGGAAAUUCUUAGACAGCUAUUUUGGCAAGCCUCCUGAGAGAGCUCAUGCAGCUCCACCUCCCAUCAUCUAAACAGCCUGCCUCUACCGGUGUAGGGUCAGAA